GUUGUAUGGUUAAGUGACUAAGCGUACACGGUGGAUGCCUGGGCAGUCAGAGGCGAUGAAGGACGUACUAACUUGCGAUAAGCGCAGAUAAGGCAGUAAGAGCCGUUUGAGUCUGCGAUUUCCGAAUGGGGAAACCCAACUGCAUAAGCAGUUACUGUUAACUGAAUACAUAGGUUAACAGAGCAAACCGGGGGAACUGAAACAUCUAAGUACCCCGAGGAGAAGAAAUCAACCGAGAUUCCGGUAGUAGCGGCGAGCGAACCUGGAUUAGCCCUUAAGCACUCGGUGAAGUAGGUGAACAAGCUGGAAAGCUUGGCGAUACAGGGUGAUAGCCCCGUAACCGACGCUUCAUCGAGCGUGAAAUCGAGUAGGGCGGGACACGUGAUAUCCUGUCUGAAUAUGGGGGGACCAUCCUCCAAGGCUAAAUACUCCUGACUGACCGAUAGUGAACCAGUACCGUGAGGGAAAGGCGAAAAGAACCCCUGUGAGGGGAGUGAAAUAGAACCUGAAACCGUGUACGUACAAGCAGUAGGAGCACCUUCGUGGUGUGACUGCGUACCUUUUGUAUAAUGGGUCAGCGACUUAUAUUCAGUGGCAAGGUUAACCGUAUAGGGGAGCCGUAGCGAAAGCGAGUCUUAACUGGGCGCUCAGUCUCUGGAUAUAGACCCGAAACCGGGUGAUCUAGCCAUGGGCAGGUUGAAGGUUGAGUAACAUCAACUGGAGGACCGAACCGACUAAUGUUGAAAAAUUAGCGGAUGACUUGUGGCUAGGGGUGAAAGGCCAAUCAAACUCGGAGAUAGCUGGUUCUCCCCGAAAGCUAUUUAGGUAGCGCCUCGGACGAAUACUACUGGGGGUAGAGCACUGUUAAGGCUAGGGGGUCAUCCCGACUUACCAACCCUUUGCAAACUCCGAAUACCAGUAAGUACUAUCCGGGAGACACACGGCGGGUGCUAACGUCCGUCGUGGAGAGGGAAACAACCCAGACCGCCAGCUAAGGUCCCAAAGUAUUGCUAAGUGGGAAACGAUGUGGGAAGGCUCAGACAGCUAGGAUGUUGGCUUAGAAGCAGCCAUCAUUUAAAGAAAGCGUAAUAGCUCACUAGUCGAGUCGGCCUGCGCGGAAGAUGUAACGGGGCUAAGCAAUACACCGAAGCUGCGGCAAUGAAGUUUACUUCAUUGGGUAGGGGAGCGUUCUGUAAGCCGUUGAAGGUGAAUCGUAAGGUUUGCUGGAGGUAUCAGAAGUGCGAAUGCUGACAUGAGUAACGACAAGGGGGGUGAAAAACCUCCCCGCCGGAAGACCAAGGGUUCCUGUCCAACGUUAAUCGGGGCAGGGUGAGUCGACCCCUAAGGCGAGGCCGAAAGGCGUAGUCGAUGGGAAACGGGUUAAUAUUCCCGUACUCAAUCAAAUUGCGAUGGGGGGACGGAGAAGGCUAGGUGGGCCAGGCGACGGUUGUCCUGGUUCAAGUGCGUAGGCUUAAGAGUUAGGUAAAUCCGGCUCUUUCUAAGGCUGAGACACGACGUCGAGCACCUACGGGUGUGAAGUCAUUGAUGCCAUGCUUCCAGGAAAAGCCUCUAAGCUUCAGAUUUGAUGGAAUCGUACCCCAAACCGACACAGGUGGUCGGGUAGAGAAUACCAAGGCGCUUGAGAGAACUCGGGUGAAGGAACUAGGCAAAAUGGUACCGUAACUUCGGGAGAAGGUACGCUCUUGAUGGUGAAGUCCCUCGCGGAUGGAGCUGACGAGAGUCGCAGAUACCAGGUGGCUGCAACUGUUUAUUAAAAACACAGCACUGUGCAAAAUCGCAAGAUGACGUAUACGGUGUGACGCCUGCCCGGUGCCGGAAGGUUAAUUGAUGGGGUUAGCGUAAGCGAAGCUCUUGAUCGAAGCCCCGGUAAACGGCGGCCGUAACUAUAACGGUCCUAAGGUAGCGAAAUUCCUUGUCGGGUAAGUUCCGACCUGCACGAAUGGCGUAAUGAUGGCCACGCUGUCUCCACCCGAGACUCAGUGAAAUUGAAAUCGCUGUGAAGAUGCAGUGUACCCGCGGCUAGACGGAAAGACCCCGUGAACCUUUACUACAGCUUGGCACUGAACAUUGAACCUACAUGUGUAGGAUAGGUGGGAGGCUAUGAAGACGUGACGCUAGUUGCGUUGGAGCCGUCCUUGAAAUACCACCCUUGUAUGUUUGAUGUUCUAACUUAGACCCAUUAUCUGGGUUGAGGACAGUGCCUGGUGGGUAGUUUGACUGGGGCGGUCUCCUCCCAAAGAGUAACGGAGGAGCACGAAGGUGGGCUAAUCACGGUUGGACAUCGUGAGGUUAGUGCAAUGGCAUAAGCCCGCUUAACUGCGAGAAUGACGGUUCGAGCAGGUGCGAAAGCAGGUCAUAGUGAUCCGGUGGUUCUGUAUGGAAGGGCCAUCGCUCAACGGAUAAAAGGUACUCCGGGGAUAACAGGCUGAUACCGCCCAAGAGUUCAUAUCGACGGCGGUGUUUGGCACCUCGAUGUCGGCUCAUCACAUCCUGGGGCUGAAGUCGGUCCCAAGGGUAUGGCUGUUCGCCAUUUAAAGUGGUACGCGAGCUGGGUUUAGAACGUCGUGAGACAGUUCGGUCCCUAUCUGCCGUGGGCGUUGGAAGAUUGAAGGGGGCUGCUCCUAGUACGAGAGGACCGGAGUGGACGAACCUCUGGUGUUCGGGUUGUGUCGCCAGACGCAUUGCCCGGUAGCUAAGUUCGGAAUCGAUAACCGCUGAAAGCAUCUAAGCGGGAAGCGAGCCCUGAGAUGAGUCUUCCCUGACAGUUUAACUGUCCUAAAGGGUUGUUCGAGACUAGAACGUUGAUAGGCAGGGUGUGUAAGCGUUGUGAGGCGUUGAGCUAACCUGUACUAAUUGCCCGUGAGGCUUAACCAUACAACACCCAAGGGGUUUUGUA
RNAcentral lists this ribosomal RNA (2917 nucleotides) under Vibrio metoecus. Its description in RNAcentral is "bacterial LSU rRNA". It matches the Rfam family "Bacterial large subunit ribosomal RNA". The record is from RNAcentral. Lineage: Bacteria; Pseudomonadati; Pseudomonadota; Gammaproteobacteria; Vibrionales; Vibrionaceae.